AUUGAACGCUGGCGGCAGGCCUAACACAUGCAGGUCGAGCGGAUGAAGGGAGCUUGCUCCUGGAUUCAGCGGCGGACGGGUGAGUAAUGCCUAGGAAUCUGCCUGGUAGUGGGGGAUAACGUCCGGAAACGGGCGCUAAUACCGCAUACGUCCUGAGGGAGAAAGUGGGGGAUCUUCGGACCUCACGCUAUCAGAUGAGCCUAGGUCGGAUUAGCUAGUUGGUGGGGUAAAGGCCUACCAAGGCGACGAUCCGUAACUGGUCUGAGAGGAUGAUCAGUCACACUGGAACUGAGACACGGUCCAGACUCCUACGGGAGGCAGCAGUGGGGAAUAUUGGACAAUGGGCGAAAGCCUGAUCCAGCCAUGCCGCGUGUGUGAAGAGGGUCUUCGGAUUGUAAAGCACUUUAAGUUGGGAGGAAGGGCAGUAAGUUAAUACCUUGCUGUUUUGACGUUACCAACAGAAUAAGCACCGGCUAACUUCGUG
RNAcentral lists this ribosomal RNA (484 nucleotides) under uncultured bacterium. Its description in RNAcentral is "partial 16S ribosomal RNA". It matches the Rfam family "Bacterial small subunit ribosomal RNA", at positions 30 to 507 of the family's 1533-position model. The record is from RNAcentral.